GCUGGGUGUGGUGGUGCACACCUGUAAUCCCAGCAGCUCAGGAGGCUGAGGCAGGAGGAUCACAAGUUCAAAAUUGGUCUUAGCAACUUAGUGAGGCCCAAAGCAACUCAGUGAGCCUUGUUUCAA
This 126-nucleotide small RNA is filed under the name Marmota monax (woodchuck). Lineage: Eukaryota; Metazoa; Chordata; Mammalia; Rodentia; Sciuridae. The record is from RNAcentral.